GGCGUGAUAGCCAAGUGGUAAGGCACGGGUCUGCAAAACCUGUAUUCGUGGGUUCGAUUCCCACUCACGCCUCCA
Molecule: transfer RNA, 75 nt
Filed under: Patescibacteria group bacterium
Lineage: Bacteria
Description: tRNA-Cys
Rfam family: tRNA
About the family: Transfer RNA (tRNA) molecules are approximately 80 nucleotides in length. Their secondary structure includes four short double-helical elements and three loops (D, anti-codon, and T loops).
Source: RNAcentral